UCGAGCGCGCCCUUCGGGGUGAGCGGCGGACGGGUUAGUAACGCGUGGGAAUAUGCCCGACACUAAGGAAUAGCCUCUGGAAACGGAGAGUAAUACCUUAUACGCCCUUCGGGGGAAAGAUUUAUCGGUGACGGAUUAGCCCGCGUUAGAUUAGAUAGUUGGUGGGGUAAUGGCCUACCAAGUCUACGAUCUAUAGCUGGUUUUAGAGGAUGAUCAGCAACACUGGGACUGAGACACGGCCCUGACUCCUACGGGAGGCAGCAGUGGGGAAUCUUGGACAAUGGGCGCAAGCCUGAUCCAGCCAUGCCGCGUGAGUGAUGAAGGCCUUAGGGUCGUAAAGCUCUUUCGCCAGAGAUGAUAAUGACAGUAUCUGGUAAGGAAACCCCGGCUAACUCCGUUCCAGCAGCCGCGGUAAUACGGAGGGGGUUAGCGUUGUUCGGAAUUACUGGGCGUAAAGCGCGCGUAGGCGGAUUAGUCAGUUAGAGGUGAAAUCCCGGGGCUCAACCCCGGAACUGCCUUUAAUACUGCUAGUCUUGAGUUCGAGAGAGGUGAGUGGAAUUCCGAGUGUAGAGGUGAAAUUCGUAGAUAUUCGGAGGAACACCAGUGGCGAAGGCGGCUCACUGGCUCGAUACUGACGCUGAGGUGCGAAAGUGUGGGGAGCAAACAGGAU
RNAcentral lists this ribosomal RNA (670 nucleotides) under uncultured Alphaproteobacteria bacterium. RNAcentral's name for it is "bacterial SSU rRNA". It matches the Rfam family "Bacterial small subunit ribosomal RNA", at positions 62 to 778 of the family's 1533-position model. The record is from RNAcentral. Lineage: Bacteria; Pseudomonadati; Pseudomonadota; Alphaproteobacteria.